UACUAGAGAAAAUAAAAUUAUGACCUAACUUGGAUUUUCUUGAUAGAAAAAGAUAUAACCGUGCCUUGUAAUAGCUGCAUGUCAAAGGGCUAGAAUUAGCAUUUUAACUUGGUAUAAAGCUAAAUGGGAGUGGGGGGCUGUUUGUGUGGUCGACAGUGAGGUUAGUGAACAGAGCGACAACUUUUGUGCUCCUUUCUUAGUUGAUAGCAUCUAUUCUGGUAGUUGUUCAAGUAAUGGUGUCAGCACUUAUUUUCAUGCAUAGAGUAGAACACAAUGUUCAAUGGACUGGACUUAGAAAAGACAUCAUUAUAAUUAUAUAUAGUUGUUAUUCUAUAGCACAUUUUCUGAGAUGAGUGACACUGGCUGGACAAUUUCAAGGAAGUUUGUAUGUCUCAGUUGUGUUUCACUUUACUUAGUAUUCUCAGCCUCAGACAGCACGCCCACACAACACCCAUAGUACAGUCAAAUGCCUGGCUACGCGAGACUAUACUGGACCAACAUCAUCAUUUCUGUUUAUUGCAAUGGCUUUUGGUUGUUUACUCAUGAUUAUCAGUGGAGUUCUGAUCUCCAACACAGCCUUGGUAUGCAAAGCUGAAAACACUUUUUUUGUGAAGACAGGAGAGUCUGUUCAACUGGACAUACAGACUGAUAAAACAGAGUUUAAUUCAUUGGUCUGGGUGAAUGGUAAAUCAGAAAAUGUUGUGAGGUUUACAAGUAAAACUGGUGAGACAAGGAUUCAUUCUUCUUAUACGGACAGGGUGGUUUUCAAUCAUUCAAGCUUCUCUCUAACACUGGAGAACAUGCAGAAGACAGACAGUGGAGUCUACAGAGUGCAAAUAUUUGGAAGCAUUAACAAAGAUUUUGCUGAAUACAGAGUAUUAGUAAUAGAUGCAGUGGAUGCUCCUGUUCUGACUGUUGUCUCUAACUGGUCCAGCAGUGACUCCUGUACGGUACACUUCAAAUGUACUGGUCAUGAUGACAUACUCUCCUCCACUUAUAAUAAUGGUAGCUGCUCUCAAGAGAAAGGGUCUCUCUUCAAAAUCAACAUUUUGGACCUGCGCUGUACUAACGACUCCAUCAUCUGUAACUACAGCAACCCAGUCAGCUGGAAGAAUGACACGAUAGAGAUUAAACAACUUUGUACAGAUCAUGAAAAAGGGAAUUCAAGAGAAGAAAACAGUUAUUUUCCUCUCCACUGGCUCAUAGUCAUUGCUGUUACUGUUACAGUGUUUCCUUUAGUGGCAGCUGUUGCACUAUACUGCUCUUACAAGAAGCAUAAAAAAGGUGACCAACAGGAUGAUAAUACAGUCUAUGCAGAAGUUGAUCCACAGAAUGAAGUUGAAAGACCCCAUAGAUCAGAGAAUCCUUGCACUAUAUAUGAUAUUUCGGGACAGAACAAACAACCUCGCCGUGCAAUUAAAACCAAUCAAACAAUCACCAGUCCUGAAUCAAUCAAUGUGCAGAUACAGGAACGGACACAAAGAGAAAAUAUUCUUCCCAGCACCACCUACUGCACCAUAGGACAAAACCAGAAACCAUCGGUUCCCACUGAAAGAGACCAAACAGUUUAUUCAGUGGUGAAUAAUUACCCACAUAAGAGACCACCUGUGGAUAAUUAGCUGAGAUUAAUUAUUAUUAUUAUUAUUGUUUUAAACGUGGCUGUUAAAGAUGCGGUUUGCCUACCAAAGAAUGUUUAGUUUUUUACAAUAGAUUUUUCACAUACCAUGUACAAGCAUACAAAUGAGUAAUAAUUCUGUGAAGAUUGCUAUUUGUCACUAUGGGUUGGUUGAAUUGGUUAUGCUGGACAUGUAAAAAUUGUGGACAAUUUGGACCUCUAGAUGGCGCCAUUGUUGAGUUUCUCUCUCUUUCUUUCUCCUUUUUUUUUUUUUUUUUUUUUUUUUUUUUUUUUUUUUGAGUCCUUUGAGUAAUACUGUACUGUAUUCCUCUUUUAUUUACUUGGUUGUCGUUUGUUUUCCUGUGUAGAUACAAUUCCACUGUUUUGUUCUCCCUUUGUACAGGCUUGAAGUUACCUUAUUCCUGUGAACUUUUGGAGUGUUUUGUGAUGGUUCAGAGUAUAAUUAACGAUUUUUUCUUUUGUUUAAACACUGUGAUCCGAUCUUGCAGUUUAGUCCAAUUCCUACAGUACCAACUCCUUGACCACUCAGAGGGCAGAGACUGGUAACGGGGCAUACAUUUAUAGAUUUUAGAGUUCAAGCCUCAUAAUGAUAGUGAGUUUUCCAUGCACCUCUUAUAAAAUGUUACUGCGCGUCGCGUCGACACAGACAACAACAGCUGUGAUUGGUGCACUUUGUUACCAGAGAUCGCCCCCAGCAUGACAAGAAAGGUCCUGUGAGAUGGUAGUGCCCAGGAACCUGAAUGACUCCACUGCUGCCACAGUGCUGUUUAGAAUGACUCAUCAUCAUCUCGGAUGAGGCCGAUGACAGCGUUGUCGACUGCAAACUUCAAGAGCUUGACAGAGGGAUCCUUGGCAAUGCAGUCGUUGGUGUAGAGGGAGAAGAGUAGUGGGGAGAGCACACAUCCCUGGGGGGCACCAGUGCUGAUUGUACAGGUGCUGGAAGUGAGUUUCCCCUGUCUCAGAAGCUGCUGCCUGUCCGUCAGAAAGCUGGUAAUCCACUGACAGAUAGACAUGGGAACAGAGAGUUGGUGUAAUUUAUUCUGGAGUAUAGCUGGGAUGAUGGUGUUGAAAGCCGAACUGAAGUCCACAAAAAGGAUCCUUGCUUAUGUCCCUGGUCUGUCCAGAUGUUGCAGGAUAUGAUGCAACCCCAUGUUGACUGCAUCAUCUUUGAUUGAUUGCUUUAUUAAUAAAAUAUUGUAUAAGGAUAGAUCAUACAACAUUUCAAAACUGUUGAGGAGAGUAUACACAAAAAAGCCAAAGGCUUAUUUCCAUUGUGGUCCUCUAUGUUUCCAAAAUGGAAGAACAGAUCAUUUAUGGAGAGAAAUCACCAUCAAGUUCAGCAUCUCAUACUACAUCACCUUUAAAUUAAUGAUAAAAAAGCCAUUUUUUAACUUCCUUUCUAAAGACACUUUCAACUUUUAUCUGCUUUAUACAACAAGGUAAAACAUUCCAGGCUAUAGAACUAGUAUAUAAAAAAGAAUUCUUCCCCAUUAAACUCUUAAAUCUACAAGGAUAAAUAUCAGUCCUUCUCCCCCUUGUAGAAUGAUUAUGCACAUCUCUCACAAGUACAUAAUACUCUGUCAAGUACCUUGGAACACUUUUCUUUAUUAUUUUAAACGCCAACACCAGUUUAUGAAAAGUUACCCUUUUUUCAACUUUUAAAAAACCAAGUUCCCUAAAAUGUUCAUCUUUCAGAUGCAACUGUGGAUGUACUUUCAAUAUAACCCUGCAUAACUUAUUUUGAGCAGUCUGCAAUUUAUUUUUGGUUCGUUUCGUACUACCACUAAACCAAAAUGUUGCAGCAUAAUCAUAGUGUGACUGCACUAAUGUUCCAGCCAACAGUUUAAAUGUUUGAGUAUCUGAAAAAGCUGCCUGUCUUGCAAUUUUUUUUAUCCUAUUACAUAUUUUUGAAUUAACUAAAACAGCCAUAUUUUCUCCUGUCAAUUUAUUAUCUAAUACACAUCCCAGGUACUUAACUUCUUGUUUAGGUGUAAUAAUCAUAUCUCCAACCUCUACCUCUAAUCUGGAGCUUUUUUCCAUUUUGUUUUCUCCAUUUUUCCCUAAACCGAACCAAAUAAUACAGCUUCAGUUUUCCCCAAGUGUAAAGAAAGCUUAUUAUGAAUUAACCAUUUGGAGACCCUUUCAAUCUCUCUACUUAACUCUGUUUCAACAUUUUCUUCCAUCUCAUGAGAAACAAUUAUUGCUGCAUCAUCUGCAUAUAAAAAAAGUUAAUUAGAACGACCAUUUUCAAAUCAUUAAUAUACAAAAAAAAAAAAAUAACGGACCUAAAACACUCCCCUGCAGAACUCCACAUUAAAUGGGCAAACAAUCAGAAAACAUCCCAUUUAAAUCCACUAUUUUACACCUAUUUACAAGGUAAGACUUGAUCCAUUCACAGGCCUUAACACUAAACCCUAUUGCUUUUACUUUUUGAAGCAGAAUACUGUGAUCAAUUGUAACAAAUGCCUUUUGCAAAUCCAGCAUCACCAUCCUGCUUAAUUUGCCUUUAUCCAUUUCUUUUCUUAUAUGAUAUGUUAAAAAACAAUAUUGUUGUCUCUGUAGAGUGCAUCCUCCUAAAACUGGACUGGAACUCAUACAAUAUAUUAAAAUUAGAGAUAUAGUCUUCAACCUGAUCAUAUAUAAUAUUUUCCAUCACUUUUGAUAAAGCACUCAGGAUUGAAACCGGCCUAUAAUUAUUACACUAUAACCUACUACCUUUCUUAAAAAUGGGAAUAACUCUUGCUUGUUUAAACUCCCCCCUUACCUUGUGUAAUUGAAAAAUGUAUAAUAUGAGUAACCAUAGGGAUAAUAACUUUAGUUGAAUUCUUAAUAAACUUAUAUAUUAUCAAACCCUAUCGCUUUACUACUUUUGAGUUCUCUUAACUUCUUAAAAACAUUACUUUCGUUUACUUUAGUAAACGAAAAACCACCCGGAAUAACACCACAUUUUGCAUAAUACUCCUUGACUAAUUCCUCAUUAAACAUCCCAGUUCGUGCUGGAAGCUCGUUAACCAGUUUUUCAGCAACAGCAGUAAAAAACUAUUAAAAUAAUCUGCUACCUUCUUCUGAUCAAACAUCAAUCUUCCAUCUACAUUGAGACUUAUUCUAGAACCUUUAACCUUGAUCUUUUUCCUAUAACCUAAAUCACUCAAAACUCUCCAUAGUUUUUGAGUAUCCUGCUUCAUUUCACUAAUCUUGUCCUUAAAAAAAAAUUAUUUAGCCUCUUUUAUCUUAUCUCUUAACUCAUUUCUUUUAGAUUUAAAUAGCUCAAAAUUAUAAUCAUUUCUUUCCCUUUUAAAUACCGUAAAACUAUCAUUACGUUCCCUAAUUAGUUUUAAAAUACUAUCUGUCAUCCAAGGUUCAGUCCUUUGCUUGAUUCUUAUCUCUUUAUAGGGUGCCACUUUAUUCAAAACUUAAAAUAUUUCUCUUAUACCUAUCCCAGGCCAUCUCCACAUCUACACACUGCAUCGCCUAAGUCCAGUUGACAUUACUGAGUUCUUCUAUAAAAACUUCUGGACUGUAUUUCUUAAGAGAUCUCAUUUUUGCUGUAUUAUGAUGCCUUAUAGACUCUCUCCUUAAUUUUCUAAUUAAAUAAACUAUACAGUGAUCACUAAUACCAGCAUCCAAGACACCACUUCUACAUAUCUUAGAAUUAUCCGAUACCAAUAUAACAUCAAUGAUAGUUUUGGAUUUAAGAGUGAUCCUAGUUGGAUCCAAAAUGAUCUGAUUCAGUGCAUAUGUUUUACAAAAAGAACUAAAAUGUUUAAAAAUUGGAGUUAUUUUUUUUUUUGCAUAUCAGUAUUUAGAUCCCCAAGAAUUAUUGUCUCUUGACCUAUAUUAUAAUUUGAACCAUUUAAAGUCUCUUCCAGUCUCUCAUAAAAAUCAUACUGAUCAGGAGGAUGAUAACAAACACCCACUAAAAUCAGUUUACUCUAGGUAGAAAAAUAUCCAAUCAAACCGCUUCUACAGCAGCAUUGUCCAAGUCUUUUAUCUCCUUAAACAUCAGAUCUGUUCUAAUGUAUACACAUACUCCUCCUCCUUUAUGAUUCUGGUCCAAAAUUGAGUCAUCCAGCCAUGUUUCACUACAGCUAAACAGAGUCACAUUCAAUUCUUGACAUAAAUGCUGUAUUUCACUUAUCUUUAGAAGCAGAAUCCUAAAGUUGAGGUGGACCAUGUACAGCCCCUUCAAAGCACCGAUGGAUCUCAUUCCGUUAACUUCCGAACCCAUUUGAUCGCGUAGUAACUGAGGGUCUUCCUCAACAGCCCCAGCUCCUGUACUCUUCUGUGUCCUCGAUGUCCCGCCAGCUUUCACAGAUGUAGAAAAAAUGUCCUCCAUCCCAUUUUCCAAGUCUCUUGACUUGUAACAAGGAAGUAUCCACUGGUCCGGUAUAGAACUCCAUUCCACCGCAAUUUCCGAACGCUGACAUUGCUCCAUAGUUGACGCACGGAUUUUCAUGACAGAAUCACCCGUACUAAUGCCCUCAAAUUCACUCGAAACAGGCCCGGGACAUUGAUGUAUGUCUCCUGACACAAGGAGACAUAUCAUUAUAAUUAACAAGUCACUUGACUAUCUUCUCAUUCUCGUGCCCUUCUUUCCUUGAACAGGUGAUCCAUGGGUGAUAAAUCAGCAUAUAAAUAACGCUCUUUCCGAAACCAAAAUGCUUGCAUCCAUAACGUGUUUGAUUGAAAUCCCUACCACUGAUUAAAAAAAUCGUCCACUUCAUUCAAACGAUUAAAAAGAGUAUACAAAAGUGAGAAACUGAACAGCGAGAUUACCACUCCACACCUGCCUGCC
Molecule: RNA transcript, 6431 nt
Organism: Myxocyprinus asiaticus (Chinese sucker)
Lineage: Eukaryota; Metazoa; Chordata; Actinopteri; Cypriniformes; Catostomidae
Gene name: CD48 antigen-like
Exons: 9
Source: RefSeq, a predicted model, not a curated record